GAUGAACGCUGGCGGCGUGCCUAAUACAUGCAAGUCGAGCGAACAGACGAGGAGCUUGCUCCUCUGACGUUAGCGGCGGACGGGUGAGUAACACGUGGAUAACCUACCUAUAAGACUGGGAUAACUUCGGGAAACCGGCGCUAAUACCGGAUAAUAUAUUGAACCGCAUGGUUCAAUAGUGAAAUACGGUUUUGCUGUCACUUAUAGAUGGAUCCGCGCCGCAUUAGCUAGUUGGUAAUGUAACGGCUUACCAAGGGAACGAUGCGUAGCCGACCUGAGAGGGUGAUCGGCGACCCGGGAACUGGGACACGGUCCAGACGCCUACGAGAGGCAGCAGUAGGGAAUGUUCCGCAAUGGGCGAAAGCUUGACGGAGCAACGCCGCGUGAGUGAUGAAGGUCUUCGGAGCGUAAAACUCUGUUAUUAGUGAAGAACAAAUGUGUAAGGAACUAUGCACGGCUUGACGGUACCUAAUCAGAAAGCCACGGCUAACUACGUG
RNAcentral lists this ribosomal RNA (497 nucleotides) under uncultured bacterium. RNAcentral's name for it is "partial 16S ribosomal RNA". It matches the Rfam family "Bacterial small subunit ribosomal RNA", at positions 28 to 507 of the family's 1533-position model. The record is from RNAcentral.